Molecule: ribosomal RNA, 256 nt
Filed under: uncultured bacterium
Lineage: Bacteria
Description: partial 16S ribosomal RNA
Rfam family: Bacterial small subunit ribosomal RNA
Source: RNAcentral
CAGAGGGUGCGAGCGUUAAUCGGAUUUUACUGGGCGUAAAGCGUGCGUAGGCGGCUUUUUAAGUCGGAUGUGAAAUCCCCGAGCUUAACUUGGGAAUUGCAUUCGAUACUGGGGAAGCUAGAGUAUGGGAGAGGAUGGUAGAAUUCCAGGUGUAGCGGUGAAAUGCGUAGAGAUCUGGAGGAAUACCGAUGGCGAAGGCAGCCAUCUGGCCUAAUACUGACGCUGAGGUACGAAAGCAUGGGGAGCAAACAGGAUU